Molecule: long non-coding RNA, 209 nt
Filed under: Elaeis guineensis (African oil palm)
Lineage: Eukaryota; Viridiplantae; Streptophyta; Magnoliopsida; Arecales; Arecaceae
Description: long non-coding RNA (EGUI_LNC029948)
Source: RNAcentral
AAUCAUAUGAUAGAAAUUAGAUCUCAACCUAUCCUUGAGGGAUCGAUCGCACCCACAGAUGAUCAUAUCUGUGAUCAAGUGCUUGGUAUUAGAUCCUGUUAUGUUAGGAGGCUAGAGUAUCGGAUCAGAGCUCUUCCAUCUUCAUGCUCAUCUCAGACUGAUGUCUAUGCUGCCUAUGAUGUCCGACUGGUAAAGAUAUAGAGACAGAC